AUGAAUUUGGGAAGGCAAACUUCAGAUUAGGCCGUUCUGUAAUAUGAACGCACAAAAGCUGGUGGCUCUUUAAAAGUGUUUCCGGUCCCUGCGUUAUGAAAAUUCAAGGUUCUGCAGAAUCGUCAUUGUAUUUGGCAGCAGCACCAGUGGAAAUCGUACACUGUGCAAACGCAGCGGAUUCUACGUCGCUCCCUCGUCGCUUAGCGAAGCGUACUUCAGCCAUUUUAAAAUGGGUGUCAGAAGAUUAGGUAGUUCGUUGUUUUUGAUGCAUAAUAAUCGUGCAGUUUGUUGUGUUUGCCAUCUGUGACGAGCACUGAAAGUGCGUAGGUAAGUCUUCCAUUGAAAAGGUCUUUCAAAAAAUGGUUGGUAUAAUAUAUUCUCCAUUUGCAAUAUUCUGUUCUGUUCAUUUUAGAGUAUUUGCUGAUGUUCCACUUCGGCCCCAUUAUGUAGUGUGUGUGAAAAUAAAUUCCUGCAAUGUGUAGAUAGAUGUUGCAUAUGAAUAUCCCUCAGUUUACAAAUUUUUGCUGUAAUGAAUAAUGCUUUCUUACUGAUUCUUUAUGAUUAUUAUACAUACAGUAAUAAAUGUCUUAAUAAAAACAUUUGUUAACAUAA
Molecule: non-coding RNA, 612 nt
Organism: Zootermopsis nevadensis
Lineage: Eukaryota; Metazoa; Arthropoda; Insecta; Blattodea; Termopsidae
Source: RefSeq, a predicted model, not a curated record